This 426-nucleotide ribosomal RNA is filed under the name uncultured bacterium. Its description in RNAcentral is "partial 16S ribosomal RNA". It matches the Rfam family "Bacterial small subunit ribosomal RNA", at positions 354 to 796 of the family's 1533-position model. The record is from RNAcentral.
GUGAGGAAUUUUCCGCAAUGGGCGAAAGCCUGACGGAGCAAUGUCGCGUGAAGGAUGAAGGCCUAUGGGUUGUAAACUUCUUUUCUCAGAAAAGAAUUAUGACGGUAUCUGAGGAAUAAGCAUCGGCUAACUCUGUGCCAGCAGCCGCGGUAAGACAGAGGAUGCAAGCGUUAUCCGGAAUGAUUGGGCGCAAAGCGUCUGUAGGUUGUUUAAAAAGUAUUCUGUCAAAGAUUAGGGCUUAACCCUAGAUAGGCAGAAUAAACUUUUAAGCUAGAGUUUGGUAGAGGCAGAGGGAAUUCCCGGUGGAGCGGUGAAAUGCGUAGAUAUCGGGAGGAACACCAAAGGCGAAGGCACUCUGCUGGGCCAAUACUAACACUGAGAGACGAAAGCGAGGGGAGCAAAUGGGAUUAGAAACCCCUGUAGUCC